GAUGAAGAACGUAGCGAAAUGCGAUAAGUAAUGUGAAUUGCAGAAUUCAGUGAAUCAUCGAAUCUUUGAACGCACAUUGCGCCCGUCAGUAUUCUGGCGGGCAUGCCUGUUCGAGCGUCAUUACGCCCCUCAAGUCCCCUGUGGACUUGGUGUUGGGGAUCGGCGAGGCUGGUUUUCCAGCACAGCCGUCCCUUAAAUUAAUUGGCGGUCUCGCCGUGGCCCUCCUCUGCGCAGUAGUAAAACACUCGCAACAGGAGCCCGGCGCGGUCCACUGCCGUAAAACCCCCCAACUUUUUAUAGUUGACCUCGGAUCAGGUAGGGAUACCCGCUGAACUUAAGCAUAUCAAUAAGCGGAGGA
RNAcentral lists this unclassified non-coding RNA (358 nucleotides) under soil metagenome. RNAcentral describes it as "partial contains 5.8S ribosomal RNA, internal transcribed spacer 2, and large subunit ribosomal RNA". The stretch from base 1 to 120 matches the Rfam family "5.8S ribosomal RNA", at positions 35 to 154 of the family's 154-position model. The record is from RNAcentral.